Molecule: ribosomal RNA, 435 nt
Filed under: uncultured bacterium
Lineage: Bacteria
Description: bacterial SSU rRNA
Rfam family: Bacterial small subunit ribosomal RNA
Source: RNAcentral
CAAGUCGAACGGAGAAAGAGAGGUUCGCCUUUCUUUCUUAGUGGCGCACGGGUGAGUAAUGUAUAGCUAACCUGCCCCUUGGUGGGGGACAACAGUUGGAAACGACUGCUAAUACCCCAUACUCCUUCUUACUCUAAGGUAAGUCGGGAAAACUCCGGUGCCAAGGGAUGGGGCUGUAUCCUAUCAGCUUGUUGGUGAGGUAAUGGCUCACCAAGGCAAUGACGGGUAGCUGGUCUGAGAGGAUGAUCAGCCACACUGGAACUGAGACACGGUCCAGACUCCUACGGGAGGCAGCAGUGGGGAAUAUUGCACAAUGGACGAAAGUCUGAUGCAGCAACGCCGCGUGGAGGAUGACACAUUUCGGUGCGUAAACUCCUUUUAUAUAGGAAGAUAAUGACGGUACUAUAUGAAUAAGCACCGGCUAACUCCGUGCCA